GACGAGGGGUCCUAGCGUUGUUCGGAAUCAUUGGGCGUAAAGCGUGUGUAGGCGGCCUUGUAAGUCAGUUGUGAAAGCCCCGGGCUCAACCCGGGAAGUGCUUCUGAUACUGCUUGGCUUGAGUACUGGAGAGGAUAGUGGAAUUCCAGGUGUAGUGGUGAAAUACGUAGAUAUCUGGAGGAAUACCGGUGGCGAAGGCGGCAUCCUGGACCGACAUUGACGCUGAGGAGCGAAAGCCAGGGGAGCAAACGGG
This 253-nucleotide ribosomal RNA is filed under the name uncultured bacterium. Its description in RNAcentral is "partial 16S ribosomal RNA". It matches the Rfam family "Bacterial small subunit ribosomal RNA", at positions 524 to 776 of the family's 1533-position model. The record is from RNAcentral.